GACGGAGGGGGCAAGCGUUGUCCGGAAUUACUGGGCGUAAAGCGCUCGUAGGCGGUCGCGUACGGCGGCGGUGAAAGCUCCCGGCUCAACUGGGAGAUGCCCGUCGCAACGGCGUGACUCGAGGGUGGUAGAGGCAGAUGGAAUUCCUGGUGUAGCGGUGAAAUGCGUAGAGAUCAGGAGGAACACCCGUGGCGAAGGCGGUCUGCUGGGCCACACCUGACGCUGAGGAGCGAAAGCCAGGGGAGCGAACGGG
This 253-nucleotide ribosomal RNA is filed under the name uncultured bacterium. RNAcentral describes it as "partial 16S ribosomal RNA". It matches the Rfam family "Bacterial small subunit ribosomal RNA", at positions 524 to 776 of the family's 1533-position model. The record is from RNAcentral.